This 351-nucleotide unclassified non-coding RNA is filed under the name Hevea brasiliensis (rubber tree). Lineage: Eukaryota; Viridiplantae; Streptophyta; Magnoliopsida; Malpighiales; Euphorbiaceae. The record is from RNAcentral.
ACUGGGUCAAUGGUUGGCCGAAAAAGCUAUAAACGCUAUAGCGUUCUUUCCCCUCCUCUCGCUGAAAACCACCACGAAUAGGGGCUUUGGUGGUUAGGAUAGAAAGCCCAUGAGUUGUAGCAUCGAUCGUUGCUUGCAUUGUCACCGUUGGAUGUCAGAAUCUGUUGGAAUUGGGUAGAAAAGUUCUGGCAUCGCAUUUUCUCUCUCUUCACCAUACUUGCUGCUGCAACCAUUCAAAAUAGUAGCUAGUCUUCCCUUAGCAUUGGCGGAGUCGUCUAGACCUAUUAGGGCUCAUCGUAGGUCAUGGUGGUUUGUUGAAGGGAGAAGAGAAAGAAGGGGAAGAAAGGGAAG